RNAcentral lists this ribosomal RNA (773 nucleotides) under uncultured bacterium. RNAcentral describes it as "bacterial SSU rRNA". It matches the Rfam family "Bacterial small subunit ribosomal RNA", at positions 123 to 902 of the family's 1533-position model. The record is from RNAcentral.
AAUCUACCCUUGGGAGGGGAACAACAGCUGGAAACGGUUGCUAAUACCCUAUAGAGUUAGUACCUCCUAGAGGUAGGCUGAGGAGCAAAAGGGAGGAAUUCGCCCAAGGAGGAGCUCACGUCUGAUUAGCUAGUUGGUGAGGCAAUAGCUCACCAAGGCUACGAUCAGUAGUUGGUCUGAGAGGAUGAUCAGCCACACUGGGACUGAGACAAGGCCCAGACUCCUACGGGAGGCAGCAGUGAGGAAUUUUCCGCAAUGGGCGAAAGCCUGACGGAGCAAUGCCGCGUGAAGGAAGAAGGCUCGCGAGUCGUAAACUUCUUUUCUCAGAGAAGAAAGAAUGACGGUAUCUGAGGAAUAAGCAUCGGCUAACUCUGUGCCAGCAGCCGCGGUAAAACAGAGGAUGCAAGCGUUAUCCGGAAUUAUUGGGCGUAAAGUGUCUGUAGGUGGCUUUUCAAGUCCCUCGUCAAAUACCAGGGCUUAACCCUGGACAGGCGUUGGAAACUACCAAGCUGGAGUGCGGUAGGGGCAGAGGGAAUUUCCGGUGGAGCGGUGAAAUGCGCUGAGAUCGGGAAGAACACCAACAAGCGAAAGCACUCUGCUGGGCCGUAACUGACACUUAGAGACUAAAGCUAGGGGAGCAAAUGGGAUUAGAGACCCCAGUAGUCCUAGCCGUAAACGAUGGAUACUAAGUGCUAUACGUAUCGACCCGUAUAGUGCUGCAGCUAACGCGCUAAGUAUCCCGCCUGGGAAGUACGUUCGCAAGAAUGAAACUC